RNAcentral lists this ribosomal RNA (440 nucleotides) under uncultured bacterium. Its description in RNAcentral is "bacterial SSU rRNA". It matches the Rfam family "Bacterial small subunit ribosomal RNA", at positions 338 to 774 of the family's 1533-position model. The record is from RNAcentral.
CCUACGGGAGGCAGCAGUGGGGAAUAUUGGACAAUGGGCGGAAGCCUGAUCCAGCAACGCCGCGUGAGGGAUGACGGCCUUCGGGUUGUAAACCUCUUUCAGCACAGGCGAAGCUGCCAUCACGUGUGGUGGUGGUGACGGUAUGUGCAGAAGAAGCACCGGCCAACUACGUGCCAGCAGCCGCGGUAAUACGUAGGGUGCGAGCGUUGUCCGGAAUUAUUGGGCGUAAAGGGCUCGUAGGCGGUUUGUCGCGUCGGGAGUGAAAUCCACUGGCUUAACUGGUGGCUUGCUUUCGAUACGGGCAGACUGGAGGUAUGCAGGGGAGAACGGAAUUCCUGGUGUAGCGGUGAAAUGCGCAGAUAUCAGGAGGAACACCGGUGGCGAAGGCGGUUCUCUGGGCAUGUCCUGACGCUGAGGAGCGAAAGUGUGGGGAGCGAACA